Molecule: ribosomal RNA, 390 nt
Filed under: uncultured bacterium
Lineage: Bacteria
Description: bacterial SSU rRNA
Rfam family: Bacterial small subunit ribosomal RNA
Source: RNAcentral
AGUGAACGCUGGCGGCAGGCCUAAUACAUGCAAGUCGAACGGCAGCACAGUGGAGCUUGCUCCAUGGGUGGCGAGUGGCGGACGGGUGAGGAAUACAUGGGAAUCUGCCCAGUCGUGGGGGAUAACGUAUGGAAACGUACGCUAAUACCGCAUGCGCCCUUCGGGGGAAAGUCGGGGACCGCAAGGCCUGACGCGAUUGGAUGAGCCCAUGUUCGAUUAGCUAGUUGGCGGGUAACGGCCCACCAAGGCGACGAUCGAUAGCUGGUCUGAGAGGAUGAUCAGCCACACUGGAACUGAGACACGGUCCAGACUCCUACGGGAGCAGCAGUGGAAUAUUUGGGACAAAUAGGGCGCAAGCUCGAUCCAGCCAUGCCGCGUGAGUGAAGAAGG